CCUACGGGUGGCAGCAGUGAGGAAUAUUGGUCAAUGGACGAGAGUCUGAACCAGCCAAGUAGCGUGAAGGAUGACUGCCCUAUGGGUUGUAAACUUCUUUUAUAAAGGAAUAAAACGAGGCACGUGUGCCUUUUUGCAUGUACUUUAUGAAUAAGGAUCGGCUAACUCCGUGCCAGCAGCCGCGGUAAUACGGAGGAGCCGAGCGUUAUCCGGAUUUAUUGGGUUUAAAGGGAGCGUAGAUGGGUUGUUAAGUCAGUUGUGAAAGUUUGCGGCUCAACCGUAAAAUUGCAAUUGAUACUGGCAGUCUAGAGUACAGUUGAGGUAGGCGGAAUUCGUGGUGUAGCGGUGAAAUGCUUAGAUAUCACGAAGAACCCCGAUUGCGAAGGCAGCUUACUAAACUGUGACUGACAUUGAUGCUCGAAAGUGUGGGUAUCAAACAGGAUUAGAUACCCCUGUAGUC
Molecule: ribosomal RNA, 460 nt
Filed under: uncultured bacterium
Lineage: Bacteria
Description: partial 16S ribosomal RNA
Rfam family: Bacterial small subunit ribosomal RNA
Source: RNAcentral